CACUACCACAUUCCUCUUCUUUUCAGGCCUCCAAAUAGCAUGUUCCACACAUUAGAAUGACUGCAGGUGGAGAGUGCUAUAGUUUGGAUCUUAAAUGAUCCCCAAAGGCUCAUAUGUCGAAGGUUUGGUCCCUAUGUUGGUGCCAUUGGGAGGUGGUAGAACUUUUAAGUGGAGCCUAGUGGGAGGUCUUUGGAUUAUUGGGGUUGUACCUUCAAAGAAAAUUGUUUUUAAUCCCUGUCUCUUUCUUUCUGUUUUUAGCUUUCUGGCCAUGAGGUGAGCAGCUUUGCUCCACCACAUGCACCUGCAUGAUGUGCCACCAUCAGCCCCAAACAACAGGACCAACCAAUAAUGGACUAAAACCUAUAAAACUAUGAGUCAAAAAACAUUUUUCUUUUUAAAAGUUGAUUGUUUAUGGUGUUUGCUAGAGUAAUGGAAAGCUGACUAACACAGAGGGUCAGAGGGGUAAUUGGUAUCUUAUGUGACACCUUCUACACAAUGCAAUGUUAUGCCACUUAAAAAAUACUUACAAUGACCCCUGGGACUGGGGUUGUGGCUCAGUGGUAGAGCGCUUGCCUAGCAUGUAUGAGGCCCUGGGUUCAAUCCUCAGCACCACAUAUGAAUAAACAAAUAAAAUAAAAUAUCCAUUGGCAACUAAAAACAUUUAAAAAAUGCAAUGACCACAAAUUAAUAUGAAAAGAAUGCAUGUCCACCUAUUUCCCUGGAAGGCUCAUUGUGGUGAAGGGGGCACCAUCCUUCUGACGGAAACCAGAGCUCAGGGUUUCUUUCUAAAGUCCUCCCUCCCUUCAUUACCUGUAUCCUAUUUUCACUCACUGUGUGGAGGCCAGGGCCACUCUCAGAGCUCAAGAGGAGCCCCUGUUUGGGGGCUUCCCUGUAGCUGUACUGUUCACCAUGGAUGAGGGGUCUAUGGGUCCAGGGGACAUGCCUACUCAAAGCCUGUGCCUGUUUUAGACCAUGCAGCAUGUCAAACACCCUCAUGGGUCUCUCUCCAGGGUCUCACGUGCAUACCUGUGGAGACUCUGCAAUUGAUUGAGGCUUCCAGGUCAUCGUGAAAGCUUGUGUGUCAAGGAAAAUUAAGAGUUUGUCUGGAUUAGCCUUCACUCUCCUACAUGACGAUGCUGUGAUAUUGUAAUAUAAUAAGAAAUAUGUAUUUGGUCUAAUAUAGUUUGGACCUGGAAUGUUCCCCAAAGGCCCUUGUGUUGAAGGCUUGGGCCUCCAACCUGAUGGUACUGGAAGCUGGUGGAAACGUAGGAAAGUGAGGCCUAGUGAAAGGAAGUUAGAUCACUGGACACAUGUCCUUGAAGAGGAUGUGGGAAUCCAAGACUCUUUCUGUCUCUUUGUUUCCUGGCCACCAUGAGAUGAGCAACUUUGCUCUACCAUAUGCUUCCCACCAUGAUGUUUUGCUUUGCCACAGGCCCAAAGGCAGUGGAAACAACCAACCAGGACUGAAACCUCUGAAACUGUGAGCCAAAAUAAAUUUUUCCUCCUUAUAAAUAGAUUAUCUCAGGUAUUUUGUCACAAUAAUGGAAAGCUAACUAACAUAAUUUUUAUGGUCAGUCCCUCACUCCCUUGCCUUUCAUGGAAUAUAGCUCCUCAAACCCAAGGCAUCUCUGGAGGGAUAAGUGUCUUUUUGUGCACUAAUGAGGUAACUACUGGCCAGAGAAUGUAGUUUGGUUGCCAGGGGAACCAACCACAGGAUUAAAAAACUUGAAUUUUCAGCCCCACCUCCAAACUGUGGGGAAGAGAGAGGGGCUAAAGGUUGAGUUGAUCACCAAUGGCCAAUGAUGUAAUCAAUCAUGUCUAUGUAAUAAAGUUUCCAAAACACCACACAGGGACAGGAUUUCAAGAGCUUCCAGCUGCUGAAAAAAAUGGGGGUACCUGGAGGGUGGAUGGCCUUGUGGGGGACAUGGAAGCUCCUGUAACUUCCCAUAUACUUGCCCUAUAUAAUUUCUUAUACAAUAUCUUUUAUAAGAAACGAGUUAAUAUUAAAUAAAGUGUUUCCCUGCCUUCUGUGAGCCAUUCUAGUAAAUGAUUGAGCCAAGGAGAGGAUCAUGGGAACCUGCUGACUUAUAGCAAGUUGAUCAGAAGCACAGAUGACAACCUCUAACCUGACUUAAGACUAUCAUCUGAAAUGGGGGCAGCCUUGUGGGACAGAGCCUUCAACCUGUGGGUUCAGAUGCUAACUUUAUAGAUUGGGUCAGAAUUGUGGGGACACUCAUUUGAUGUCUGCAGAGAAUUAGAGUUGAGUUGCUUGGUGUGGGGAA
RNAcentral lists this long non-coding RNA (2282 nucleotides) under Marmota monax (woodchuck). The stretch from base 544 to 612 matches the Rfam family "tRNA". Lineage: Eukaryota; Metazoa; Chordata; Mammalia; Rodentia; Sciuridae. The record is from RNAcentral.